UACGGAGGGGGCGAGCGUUAUUCGGAAUUAUUGGGCGUAAAGGGCGCGUAGGCGGCUUGAUGUGUCAAAGGUGAAAUCCCUCGGCUCAACUGAGGAACUGCCUUUGAAACUGUCUGGCUUGAGGCCGGGAGAGGGUAGCGGAAUUCCCAGUGUAGCGGUGAAAUGCGUAGAUACUGGGAGGAACACCGGUGGCGAAGGCGGCUACCUGGACCGGUUCUGACGCUGAGGCACGAAAGCGUGGGGAGCAAACAGG
This 253-nucleotide ribosomal RNA is filed under the name uncultured bacterium. RNAcentral's name for it is "partial 16S ribosomal RNA". It matches the Rfam family "Bacterial small subunit ribosomal RNA", at positions 524 to 776 of the family's 1533-position model. The record is from RNAcentral.